UUACGGCCAUAUCACGUUGAACUCGCCGGUUCUCGUCCGAUAACCGAAGUUAAGCAACGUCCAGCCUGGUCAGUAUUUAGAUGGAUGACCGCUUGGGAAUACCAAGUGCUGUAA
This is a non-coding RNA of Acanthosepion pharaonis, 114 nucleotides long. The record is from the annotation of a GenBank genome assembly. Lineage: Eukaryota; Metazoa; Mollusca; Cephalopoda; Sepiida; Sepiidae.